GCAGCAGCCGCGGUAAUACGUAGGGGGCGAGCGUUGUCCGGAUUUACUGGGCGUAAAGAGCGCGUAGGCGGUUCGUUAAGUUGGCUGUGAAAUCUCCUGGCCUAACUGGGAGGGGUCAGCCGAGACUGGCGAACUUGAGGGCGGUAGAGGAAGGUGGAACUCCGGGUGUAGUGGUGAAAUGCGUAGAUAUCCGGAAGAACACCGGUGGCGAAGGCGGCCUUCUGGGCCGUACCUGACGCUGAGGCGCGAAAGCGUGGGGAGCGAACUGAAUUAGAUACUCAGGUAGUCCACGCCCUAAACGAUGGACGCUAGGUGUCGGGGGUAUCGACCCCUCCGGUGCCGAAGCUAACGCAUUAAGCGUCCCGCCUGGGGAGUACGGCCGCAAGGCUAAAACUCAAAGGAAUUGACGGGGGCCCGCACAAGU
RNAcentral lists this ribosomal RNA (424 nucleotides) under uncultured bacterium. RNAcentral describes it as "bacterial SSU rRNA". It matches the Rfam family "Bacterial small subunit ribosomal RNA", at positions 508 to 930 of the family's 1533-position model. The record is from RNAcentral.